UACACACGUGCUACAAUGGACAAUACAAAGGGCAGCGAAACCGCGAGGUCAAGCAAAUCCCAUAAAGUUGUUUUCAGUUCGGAUUGUAGUCUGCAACUCGACUACAUGAAGCUGGAAUCGCUAGUAAUCGUAGAUCAGCAUGCUACGGUGAAUACGUUCCCGGGUCUUGUACACACCGCCCGUCACACCACGAGAGUUUGUAACACCCGAAGCCGGUGGAGUAACCAUUUGGA
RNAcentral lists this ribosomal RNA (233 nucleotides) under Staphylococcus hominis. RNAcentral's name for it is "partial 16S ribosomal RNA". It matches the Rfam family "Bacterial small subunit ribosomal RNA", at positions 1215 to 1447 of the family's 1533-position model. Lineage: Bacteria; Bacillati; Bacillota; Bacilli; Caryophanales; Staphylococcaceae. The record is from RNAcentral.